GACGAACGCUGGCGGCGUGCUUAACACAUGCAAGUCGAACGGAAAGGCCCUGCUUUUGUGGGGUGCUCGAGUGGCGAACGGGUGAGUAACACGUGAGUAACCUGCCCUUGACUUUGGGAUAACUUCAGGAAACUGGGGCUAAUACCGGAUAGGAGCUCCUGCUGCAUGGUGGGGGUUGGAAAGUUUCGGCGGUUGGGGAUGGACUCGCGGCUUAUCAGCUUGUUGGUGGGGUAGUGGCUUACCAAGGCUUUGACGGGUAGCCGGCCUGAGAGGGUGACCGGGCCAAAUGGGGCUGGAGACAGGCCCCAGCCCCCGAGGGGAGCGACAGGGGGGAAAUUUGGAAAAUGGGGGGGAGCCCGAAGCCAGAACCCCCGUGGGGGGAAGGGCGGCUUGGGGUUGUAAACCCCUUUCCCCCGGUAACGAAGGGGGAGUGACGUAAAGGGGAAAAAAACCCCCGGCUAACACCGUC
Molecule: ribosomal RNA, 469 nt
Filed under: uncultured bacterium
Lineage: Bacteria
Description: partial 16S ribosomal RNA
Rfam family: Bacterial small subunit ribosomal RNA
Source: RNAcentral